This 492-nucleotide ribosomal RNA is filed under the name uncultured bacterium. RNAcentral describes it as "partial 16S ribosomal RNA". It matches the Rfam family "Bacterial small subunit ribosomal RNA", at positions 29 to 507 of the family's 1533-position model. The record is from RNAcentral.
AGUGAACGCUGGCGGUAGGCCUAACACAUGCAAGUCGAACGGCAGCACAGUAAGAGCUUGCUCUUACGGGUGGCGAGUGGCGGACGGGUGAGGAAUACAUCGGAAUCUACUUUUUCGUGGGGGAUAACGUAGGGAAACUUACGCUAAUACCGCAUACGACCUACGGGUGAAAGCAGGGGAUCUUCGGACCUUGCGCGAGUGAAUGAGCCGAUGUCGGAUUAGCUAGUUGGCGGGGUAAAGGCCCACCAAGGCGACGAUCCGUAGCUGGUCUGAGAGGAUGAUCAGCCACCUUGGAACUGAGACACGGUCCAGACUCUUACGGGAGGCAGCGGUGGGGAAUAUUGGACAAUGGGCGCAAGCCUGAUCCAGCCAUACCGCGUGGGUGAAGAAGGCCUUCGGGUUGUAAAGCCCUUUUGUUGGGAAAGAAAAGCAGCAGGUUAAUACCCCGCUGUUCUGACGGUACCCAAAGAAUAAGCACCGGCUAACUUCGUG